GGCAAAGUCGAGGGAUACCUGGGGUCCUCGUAGCACCUGUUAGCGGUUUGGCUAGCGGUUGCAAGUCUGGGUCUGUUUUCUCUGAAAGGCCCCAUUGCCAGGCCUGAAGCCAGAGCAUUUCCUGUUGCUCUCUGACAGUG
RNAcentral lists this long non-coding RNA (140 nucleotides) under Sinocyclocheilus anshuiensis. RNAcentral describes it as "lncRNA (ENSSANG00000023022.1)". The record is from RNAcentral. Lineage: Eukaryota; Metazoa; Chordata; Actinopteri; Cypriniformes; Cyprinidae.